UAUAACGCGAAGAACCUUACCAGGUCUUGACAUCUUCUGACAGUUUAAGAGAUUAGAGGUUCCCUUCGGGGACAGAAUGACAGGUGGUGCAUGGUUGUCGUCAGCUCGUGUCGUGAGAUGUUGGGUUAAGUCCCGCAACGAGCGCAACCCUUAUUACUAGUUGCCAGCAUUAAGUUGGGCACUCUAGUGAGACUGCCGGUGACAAACCGGAGGAAGGUGGGGACGACGUCAAAUCAUCAUGCCCCUUAUGACCUGGGCUACACACGUGCUACAAUGGAUGGUACAACGAGUCGCGAGACCGCGAGGUUAAGCUAAUCUCUUAAAACCAUUCUCAGUUCGGACUGUAGGCUGCAACUCGCCUACACGAAGUCGGAAUCGCUAGUAAUCGCGCAUCAGAAUCGCCAAUGCUGU
This 411-nucleotide ribosomal RNA is filed under the name uncultured bacterium. RNAcentral's name for it is "bacterial SSU rRNA". It matches the Rfam family "Bacterial small subunit ribosomal RNA", at positions 955 to 1364 of the family's 1533-position model. The record is from RNAcentral.